This 1260-nucleotide ribosomal RNA is filed under the name metagenome. Its description in RNAcentral is "bacterial LSU rRNA". It matches the Rfam family "Bacterial large subunit ribosomal RNA", at positions 1682 to 2925 of the family's 2925-position model. The record is from RNAcentral.
CCUGGCGCGUGAGAGAACCCUGGUUAAGGAACUCAGCAAAUUGACACCGUAACUUCGGGAGAAGGUGUGCCGCUGGCGGUUAGUGACUUCGCGUCACGAAGCUGUCGGUGGUCGCAGUGAAAUGGCGGUUGUGACUGUUUACUAAAAACACAGGACUCUGCGAAGUCGUAAGACGACGUAUAGGGUCUGAUGCCUGCCCGGUGCUGGAAGGUUAAGGGGAUAUGUCAGCGCAAGCGAAGCAUUGAACCGAAGCCCCAGUAAACGGCGGCCGUAACGAUAACGGUCCUAAGGUAGCGAAAUUCCUUGUCGGGUAAGUUCCGACCUGCACGAGGGCAUAACAACAUCCGCACUGUCUCGACCAGGGACUCAGCGAAAUUACAUUGGGGGUGAAGAUGCCCUCUACCCGCGGAAAGACGGAAAGACCCCAUGAACCUUUACUGCAACUUGGCAGUGAUUUUCGGGUUGUUCUGCGUAGGAUAGGUGGGAGGCUUUGAAGCCGGGCUUCCGGGUUCGGCAGAGCCAACGUUGAAAUACCACCCUGAAUAAUCUGGAAAUCUAACCUGCGCCCAUGAUCUGGGCGAGGGACACUGCCUGGUGGGCAGUUUGACUGGGGCGGUCGCCUCCUAAAUUGUAACGGAGGCGUGCGACGGUUCCCUCAGGCUGAUUGGAAACCAGCCGUAGAGUGCAAACGCAUAAGGGAGCUUUACUGCGAGACUGACAAGUCGAACAGUUGCGAAAGCAGGUGUUAGUGAUCCGGUGGUACCACAUGGAAGGGCCAUCGCUCAUCGGAUAAAAGGUACUCUGGGGAUAACAGGCUGAUCGCGCCUGAGAGUUCACAUCGGCGGCGCGGUUUGGCACCUCGAUGUCGGCUCAUCGCAUCCUGGGGCUGGAGCAGGUCCCAAGGGUUUGGCUGUUCGCCAAUUAAAGCGGUACGCGAGCUGGGUUUAAAACGUCGUGAGACAGUUUGGUCCCUAUCUUCCGUGGGCGCAGGACACUUGAGAGGAGCUAUCCAUAGUACGAGAGGACCUGGAUGGACGAACCUCUGGUGCUCCGGUUGUCACGCCAGUGGCAUAGCCGGGUAGCCAUGUUCGGAACAGAUAACCGCUGAAGGCAUAUAAGCGGGAAGCUGGCCUCAAGACUAGGUGUCCCUGACGCAAGUCACUAAAGGCCCCUCGAAGACUACGAGGUUGAUAGGCUCGGUGUGGAAGCGCUGCGAGGCGUGGAGCUAACGAGUACUAAUAGGCCGUGCGACUUGACCUA